RNAcentral lists this long non-coding RNA (1766 nucleotides) under Homo sapiens (human). Its description in RNAcentral is "non-protein coding lnc-HOXD13-3:9". Lineage: Eukaryota; Metazoa; Chordata; Mammalia; Primates; Hominidae. The record is from RNAcentral.
UAAUUUCUAACUAGGUGGUGGCCACUGCACAAACUAGAUUCUGCUCACUCUGGGCCUCACUCCACUUCCUCUGUGACAGAUCAUAUGACACAUGAUAUGUCAAGACAUAUCAUGUCUGACAAACCUGAUAUGGCUGAGAUCAAGAAAUUUGAUGUCAAAAAUAGAAGAAGACAGAAUUGCAAGAGAAAAAUCCACUGCCUUCCGAAGAAACAAUAGAACAGGAGAAGCAGGCAGACAAAUCUUACGGAGGCAUGCGCCGCCAAUAUGCACUGUACAUUCAACGAGAAUUGCCUUCUUAUUUUACUUAUUUUAGCUGUUAAUUUUGUAAGAUGCAAAGAGGUUGGAUCAACUUUUAAAGGACUUUGCUGCCCUUUUCACAUCAAACAAUAGAAAACUGCUGACGAUGAAGGCCACACCUACCUCUCCCAUCUGCUUGUCUGGCUGUCAAGGAAGGAAAAUAACUUGCAUGUUGGUGAAGGAAGAAGAAGAGUAGGAAGACAGGAGAACUGGGAGUCUGAGAAAUCCAAGAAUAACCCAGCUGCCUAUGAAAAUGGCAAAUGAGCAACUCAUCUGGAUGACUCAUUUGGUUCCCGGUCUCUGAAAGACCCUUCUCUGGGAUAGGAGUCUUCAUUGUAGUGUCUUCAAGACACGAUAAAUUUAUGGACUGCACUGUUGUGGUUUUUUUUUAAGUGAAUGCACCUGCUUUUUAUGUUAUCAAAUUAGGCUUCACAAACGUAGUAUCUUCCAAUUUGAUAUUUGACAAUGACGAGAAUGCAGUUAAAUGAAUGGAGUAGAUGGGCAACAAAAGUCCUCAGUAAUAUUCUGCAUGGUAUAACCCAGCAUGGACUCAGAGCACUGCAGAACACAGAACAUCAGGCUCGAUGGCUCACGCCUGUAAUCCCAGCACUUUGGGAGGCUGAGGCGGGCAGACUGCUUAAGUCCAGGAGUUCGAGACCAGCCUGUGCCACAUGGUGAAACCCUUUCUCUACUGAAAAUACAAAAAAAUAGCUGGGCAUGGUGAUGCAUGCCUGUAGUCCCAGCUACUUGGGAGGCUGAGGUGGGAGGACUGCUUGAGCCUGAGAGACGGAGGUUGCAGUGAGCUGAGAUGGAGCCACUGCACUCCAGCCUGGGUAACAGAGUAACAGAGAGGCCUUGUCUUAAAAUGCACACACACACACACACACACACACACACACACACACACACACACACACGACAUUAUGGAUUCUGAAAACUAAAACACUGAAGGAAGCAAAUAUAUCCCAUGUAACUGUUUUGCACAAGGGUAUUGGCAGCAUAACCAUAAUGAAGUCUGGGAGUGGAGUAAUUGGCAAAAGAUUAGCUGAUUUAAUUUUGACUUUACUAAUUUUAACCAACUGUGAUUCCCUCCUAUGAUCCUAACUAAUAAAUUAAUGUAGUUUUAUGUUACAUAUUUUUUACAGUAGGAUUGAAAUAUGUAAAUAUUAGACUCAUUUAUGUGCUGCAGAAUCAUUUGGUUUACAUGAGUAAUUGAUUCAGUAAGAGAAUUUUUCAAAAUAGGUUUCCAAUUUAAAGUAUCACCUUUGACGAACACACAUCAGGAAAUAUAUAUGCUACUUAAAGUAAAAUUAACUUGCAUUGAGAUUGUCUUAUUCAAAUUUUACUCUCUCAGAGCUCUGUAGACUUUUUUGUGGCUCCGAUCACAGUUUAAAUUGUACAUUUAUUUUUAUGAUCAUUUAGUUAAUGUCUGUCUUCAUCACUCAGCUGUGGAUCUACGAGUGCUGUUU